Molecule: long non-coding RNA, 561 nt
Organism: Gossypium raimondii (Peruvian cotton)
Lineage: Eukaryota; Viridiplantae; Streptophyta; Magnoliopsida; Malvales; Malvaceae
Exons: 2
Source: RefSeq, a predicted model, not a curated record
CCCGCCGUCUCCAUUCACAAAUCAAACUAAAAAAACCUAAACCAUCUCCUCCUGCAUGCGCCGCUCGGACAUUCGGGUUGUUUUGAGGCUUCGCGAACCUCCCCAGGGUUCCGAUCACGACGGAGCAAGCGGAGACUUAGUAUUUCAGGUACGGCCGUACGGAGCAGUGGACGUGGAGGCGUGGCACAUGGCGGCGGCGCACAUGCGAGGGAAGGCUGAGAGGUGCUGCUGCUGCUGCGCUGUGAGCCAUUGCUGCUAGGGUUUGUGUUUAGGGAAUGUUUUGGGCUAGGUUGGGCCGUGUCAGGCUUUAGGUAUUGGGUUUUUGUUAAUUGGACUUUGGGUAUGUAAUUUCGGGUUUUUUUAAAUUGGGUCAAUGUAAUGGACAUUUGGACCUUAUUUAUUUAUUUAUUUAUUUUUGAAAUGUAUGUGGGCCGGGCAAAUUUAGGCUAUUACACUACUUAUAGAGAACAAAUUUCUCUACAGUUUUAUCUUUGUUUUUAAGCAAAUAUACAUAGCAAUAUUUUGUGCUAUCAUCAAUGAAUGUAAUAAAAUAUUUAUUCA